RNAcentral lists this small RNA (594 nucleotides) under Pongo abelii (Sumatran orangutan). Its description in RNAcentral is "processed transcript". The record is from RNAcentral. Lineage: Eukaryota; Metazoa; Chordata; Mammalia; Primates; Hominidae.
AAGCUUUCCCUGCAAUAUUAUCUCAGCAGCUCCCUAGCUGCUUACCCUGAAAACGAGGGAUCCAAACGGAGGGUGUUGCCCUCUGCUAACGCUGGUCCUGUGCGUGGCUGUGGCAUGUGAGCGGCAGGUCUGAAAAAGCAGGUGUGUGCUGGGACGGGCACUGGACUGGAACGCAGGCGGACGCUCUCGGGUUUACCUGCUUCCUGUUAACAGAUUGUGGGCUCCCAGGGCAUAUGUCUGCACGCUGAGGCCGAGGCGGAGAAGGGGCUUCCUGAGCGUCCCAGUACACUGACAGAGACACUUGGAUUGGACUUAAUCUUAAACCUCUGGAGUUCAAGACCUUUUAAAAAGGGCUAAAUAAACAAUCUCUACAUGUAAAAGGCCACUGACUCCUGCUUCCUCUGUAUAGAGCAACUGUUGAACUCAGCUGCCUGUAAGGCGUGAUUCUCAGUCACCAGACUCAGCAAAAGGUUUUAGAAGCGUCCGACCAAACCUACAAGAGAAGAGAUCAGCAACUCAGGCACCCCCUCCACCAGAAAGAAAAGAGAGCUUUCAUAGCUCUUUGAUAACCAGGCACACAAAGGGUGUCAUUUU